CCUACGGGAGACAGCAGUGGGGAAUAUUGGGCAAUGGACGCAAGUCUGACCCAGCAAUGCCGCGUGAAGGCAGAAGGCUUUCGGGUUGUAAACUUCUUUUAAGGGGGAAGAGCAGAAGACGGUACCCCUUGAAUAAGCCACGGCUAACUACGUGCCAGCAGCCGCGGUAAUACGUAGGUGGCAAGCGUUGUCCGGAUUUACUGGGUGUAAAGGGUGUGCAGCCGGAGAGACAAGUCAGAUGUGAAAUCCACGGGCUCAACCCGUGAACUGCAUUUGAAACUGUUUCCCUUGAGUGUCGGAGAGGUAAUCGGAAUGCGUGGUGUAGCGGUGAAAUGCAUAGAUAUAAGGAAGAACACCAGUGGCGAAGGCAGAUGACGGGACGAAGACUGACGGUGAGGCGCGAAAGCGUGGGGAGCGAACAGGAUUAGAUACCCCUGUAGUC
This 442-nucleotide ribosomal RNA is filed under the name uncultured bacterium. RNAcentral's name for it is "partial 16S ribosomal RNA". It matches the Rfam family "Bacterial small subunit ribosomal RNA", at positions 338 to 795 of the family's 1533-position model. The record is from RNAcentral.